AGAGUUUGAUCCUGGCUCAGAAUGAACGCUGGCGGCGUGCUUAACACAUGCAAGUCGUGCGCGAAGGUGGCUUCGGCUGCCGGAGAGCGGCGAACGGGUGAGUAACACGUGGGUAAUCUGCCUGGGAGCGGGGGAUAACCUGGGGAAACUCGGGCUAAUACCGCGUACGUUGGUGGGACUACGGUUCUGUCAAGAAAGCUGGCCUCUGCUUGCAAGCUAGCGCUCCCAGAGGAGCCCGCGGCUGAUUAGCUAGUUGGUGAGGUAAAGGCUCACCAAGGCAUCGAUCAGUAGCCGGCCUGAGAGGGUGAUCGGCCACACUGGGACUGAGACACGGCCCAGACUCCUACGGGAGGCAGCAGUGGGGAAUAUUGGACAAUGGGCGCAAGCCUGAUCCAGCAACGCCGCGUGGAGGAUGAAGGUCUUCGGAUCGUAAACUCCUGUCAGAUGGGACGAAGGUUCGGAGGCGAACAGUUUUCGAGCUUGACGGUACCAUCAGAGGAAGCCCCGGCUAACUCCGUGCCAGCAGCCGCGGUAAUACGGAGGGGGCGAGCGUUAUUCGGAAUUAUUGGGCGUAAAGGGCGCGUAGGCGGCCCGGUAAGUCAAAGGUGAAAUCCCUCGGCUCAACUGAGGAACUGCCUUUGAGACUGUCGGGCUUGAGGCCGGGAGAGGGUAGUGGAAUUCCCAGUGUAGCGGUGAAAUGCGUAGAUAUUGGGAGGAACACCAGUGGCGAAGGCGGCUACCUGGACCGGUUCUGACGCUGAGGCGCGAAAGCGUGGGUAGCAAACAGGAUUAGAUACCCUGGUAGUCC
Molecule: ribosomal RNA, 808 nt
Filed under: uncultured bacterium
Lineage: Bacteria
Description: bacterial SSU rRNA
Rfam family: Bacterial small subunit ribosomal RNA
Source: RNAcentral